GGUUGAAUGUUCCUGGUGUUGCAUUCUUUAAACUUGCAUCACCGGGUAAACAUUCAUCCCC
RNAcentral lists this microRNA precursor (61 nucleotides) under Parasteatoda tepidariorum (common house spider). RNAcentral's name for it is "microRNA pte-mir-35s precursor". Its record names the gene pte-mir-35s. Lineage: Eukaryota; Metazoa; Arthropoda; Arachnida; Araneae; Theridiidae. The record is from miRBase by way of RNAcentral.